GACGGAGGGUGCUAGCGUUGUUCGGAAUCACUGGGCGUAAAGGGCGCGUAGGCGGCCUUUGGUGUCGGAUGUGAAAGCCCGGGGCUCAACUCCGGAGGUGCAUCCGAAACUCAAAGGCUGGAGGCCGGAAGAGGAGGGUGGAAUACCCAGUGUAGAGGUGAAAUUCGUAGAUAUUGGGUGGAACACCGGUGGCGAAAGCGGCUCUCUGGUCCGGUCCUGACGCUGAGGCGCGAAAGCGUGUGGAGCAAACAGG
This 253-nucleotide ribosomal RNA is filed under the name uncultured bacterium. RNAcentral's name for it is "partial 16S ribosomal RNA". It matches the Rfam family "Bacterial small subunit ribosomal RNA", at positions 524 to 776 of the family's 1533-position model. The record is from RNAcentral.